GCGCUCGUAGCUCAGUAGGAUAGAGCGGCCGCCUCCUAAGUGGCAGGUCGGGGAUUCGAGUUCCUUCGAGCGCG
Molecule: transfer RNA, 74 nt
Filed under: Clostridiales bacterium
Lineage: Bacteria; Bacillati; Bacillota; Clostridia; Eubacteriales
Description: tRNA-Arg
Rfam family: tRNA
About the family: Transfer RNA (tRNA) molecules are approximately 80 nucleotides in length. Their secondary structure includes four short double-helical elements and three loops (D, anti-codon, and T loops).
Source: RNAcentral